Molecule: ribosomal RNA, 253 nt
Filed under: uncultured bacterium
Lineage: Bacteria
Description: partial 16S ribosomal RNA
Rfam family: Bacterial small subunit ribosomal RNA
Source: RNAcentral
UACAGAGGGGGCAAGCGUUGUUCGGAAUUACUGGGCGUAAAGGGCUCGUAGGCGGCCAACUAAGUCCGACGUGAAAUCCCCAAGCUUAACUUGGGAACUGCGUCGGAUACUGGAUGGCUUGAAUUCGGGAGAGGGAUGCAGAAUUCCAGGUGUAGCGGUGAAAUGCGUAGAUAUCUGGAGGAAUACCGGUGGCGAAGGCGGCAUCCUGGACCGACAUUGACGCUGAGGAGCGAAAGCUAGGGGAGCAAACGGG